This 685-nucleotide ribosomal RNA is filed under the name uncultured Planctomycetota bacterium. RNAcentral's name for it is "bacterial SSU rRNA". It matches the Rfam family "Bacterial small subunit ribosomal RNA", at positions 240 to 918 of the family's 1533-position model. Lineage: Bacteria; Pseudomonadati; Planctomycetota. The record is from RNAcentral.
AUCAGCUAGUUGGUGGGGUAAUGGCCUACCAAGGCGAUGACGGCUAGCCGAUCUGAGAGGACGACCGGCCACACUGGGACUGAGACACUGCCCAGACUCCUACGGGAGGCUGCAGUCGAGAAUCUUCCGCAAUGGGCGCAAGCCUGACGGAGCGACACCGCGUACAGGAUGACGGCCUUCGGGUUGUAAACUGUUGUCACGCUAUGGGAACCGUUUGUGGUUAAUAGCCACAAGCCUGACUAAAGCGAGAGGAAGCACCGGCUAACUCUGUGCCAGCAGCCGCGGUAAGACAGAGGGUGCAAACGUUGUUCGGAAUCACUGGGCAUAAAGCGCGCGUAGGCGGUUCGCUAAGUCAGGUGUGAAAGCCCCCGGCUCAACCGGGGAAUGGCACUUGAUACUGGCGAGCUUGAGGAUGAGAUGGGUGGGCGGAACUCCAGGUGGAGCGGUGAAAUGCGUAGAUAUCUGGAGGAACACCGGUGGCGAAAGCGGCCCACUGGACCAUUGCUGACGCUGAGGCGCGAAAGCUAGGGUAGCAAACGGGAUUAGAUACCCCGGUAGUCCUAGCCAUAAACGAUGGGCACUAGGUAGGGGAGGCACCUAUGUCUUCCUCUGCCGGAGCUAAUGUAUUAAGUGCCCCGCCUGGGGAGUACGCUCGCAAGGGUAAAACUCAAAUGAAUUGACGGGG